Molecule: long non-coding RNA, 876 nt
Organism: Leopardus geoffroyi (Geoffroy's cat)
Lineage: Eukaryota; Metazoa; Chordata; Mammalia; Carnivora; Felidae
Exons: 3
Source: RefSeq, a predicted model, not a curated record
UUCAUUUAUUGGAAGGGAUGCGUAUCGGGACAGCUCUGAAAAGGAAGCGGUAAUGCGGGGCCCUGGCGUGCACCAUCACGGACAGGAGGGAGGAAGGAAGCAGUGGGGAGGUAGAAAGGCACUCGAAAGAUCAUCCUGUUCUGUCCUGUGUACUCAGAACCUGUCCUGGUCAGUUUCUUGUCUCUACCUGAAGGCUGAUGGUCUUUAAGUUCCAAUUUCCCUCUCCUGGUGGACUGUGUCCAGACAGCUUUCGCUCACAGAGCAGACGUUCUCCAGGCCCAAGGAUGGCAACAGGACCUCUUGUGGUUUCCCGACGCCCUGCCUAUACCUUUGAACAUAACCCCAUCGUCAACUCUUCUCGAAUUACCCAUCUCAGUGUCUCUUGCCUGCACCAUGACUGAUACAGCCGGCUGUAAACACAUCACUGACUCUACCUUGCCCAGAGGAGGAAGCAACAUCCCUCAGGAGGGGAGCAAGAUUCCACCCUUGCCACAUCUUGAGACACGCUUUCCGCACGCUGGCGGACGUGUGGUUUCCUGAACGCAAGGUGCUCUUUUUCUUCUUGGAGAUUUUGUAACUGAUGAUUUCUUUCCUGGCUUAGCUGCCUGGACAGUGUCUUUUCUUCCUUCAAGACUGUUCAGGGAUCACCUGUUGAUUUUUUCUGACUUUCCUAGGCAGGAUGGGCUGCUUCCUCUUCUAUGCUCCCUUACCACAUUAUACGCAUGCCCAUUAAAGCUCUUUUCGUGGCUGCGAGUUUUUGUUCCUAUGUCUGCUUUCCAACCAGUCUUGGAAUCCUCUGAGUGUAUUCUGUUUUCCUUUGUUCUCCGAGUACCUGCUGUUGUCCCUGGUGGGCUUCAUAAACAUGUUUUGAAUGAC